RNAcentral lists this ribosomal RNA (482 nucleotides) under uncultured bacterium. RNAcentral's name for it is "partial 16S ribosomal RNA". It matches the Rfam family "Bacterial small subunit ribosomal RNA", at positions 30 to 507 of the family's 1533-position model. The record is from RNAcentral.
AUUGAACGCUGGCGGCAUGCUUUACACAUGCAAGUCGAACGGUAACAGGCCGCAAGGUGCUGACGAGUGGCGAACGGGUGAGUAAUGCAUCGGAACGUGCCCAGUCGUGGGGGAUAACUACUCGAAAGAGUAGCUAAUACCGCAUACGAUCUAUGGAUGAAAGCGGGGGACCGUAAGGCCUCGCGCGACUGGAGCGGCCGAUGUCAGAUUAGGUAGUUGGUGGGGUAAAGGCUCACCAAGCCAACGAUCUGUAUCUGGUCUGAGAGGACGACCAGCCACACUGGGACUGAGACACGGCCCAGACUCCUACGGGGGGCAGCAGUGGGGAAUUUUGGACAAUGGGCGCAAGCCUGAUCCAGCAAUGCCGCGUGCAGGAAGAAGGCCUUCGGGUUGUAAACUGCUUUUGUACGGAGCGAAACGGCUCUGGUUAAUACCCGGGGCUAAUGACGGUACCGUAAGAAUAAGCACCGGCUAACUACGUG